GAUGUACGCUGGCGGCGUGCCUAAUACAUGCAAGUCGAGCGAGCAGAUGAGGAGCUUGCUCCUCUGACGUUAGCGGCGGACGGGUGAGUAACACGUGGAUAACCUACCUAUAAGACUGGGAUAACUUCGGGAAACCGGAGCUAAUACCGGAUAAUAUAUUGAACCGCAUGGUUCAAUAGUGAAAGACGGUUUUGCUGUCACUUAUAGAUGGAUCCGCGCCGCAUUAGCUAGUUGGUAAGGUAACGGCUUACCAAGGCAACGAUGCGUAGCCGACCUGAGAGGGUGAUCGGCCACACUGGAACUGAGACACGGUCCAGACUCCUACGGGAGGCAGCAGUAGGGAAUCUUCCGCAAUGGGCGAAAGCCUGACGGAGCAACGCCGCGUGAGUGAUGAAGGUCUUCGGAUCGUAAAACUCUGUUAUUAGGGAAGAACAAAUGUGUAAGUAACUAUGCACGUCUUGACGGUACCUAAUCAGAAAGCCACGGCUAACUACGUG
This 497-nucleotide ribosomal RNA is filed under the name uncultured bacterium. RNAcentral describes it as "partial 16S ribosomal RNA". It matches the Rfam family "Bacterial small subunit ribosomal RNA", at positions 28 to 507 of the family's 1533-position model. The record is from RNAcentral.